CCUACGUGUGGCUGCAGUGGGGAAUAUUGCACAAUGGGGGAAACCCUGAUGCAGCGACGCCGCGUGAGUGAAGAAGUAAUUCGUUACGUAAAGCUCUAUCAGAAGGGAAGAAAAUGACGGUACCUGAGUAAGAAUCACCGGCUAACGACGUGCCAGCAGCCGCGGUAAUACGUAGGGGGCAAGCGUUAUCCGGAUUUACUGGGUGUAAAGGGAGCGUAGACGGUGUGCCAAGUCUGGAGUGAAAUGCCGCAGCUUAACUGCGGAACUGCUUUGGAAACUGGCGAACUAGAGUGCAGGAGGGGUAAGCGGAAUGCAUGGUGUAGCGGUGAAAUGCGUAGAUAUUAGAAGGAACCCCGGUGGCGAAGGCAGCUUACUGGACCGUAACUGACGUUGAGGCUCGAAAGCGUGGGGAGCAAACAGGAUUAGAUACCCCAGUAGUC
RNAcentral lists this ribosomal RNA (440 nucleotides) under uncultured bacterium. RNAcentral describes it as "partial 16S ribosomal RNA". It matches the Rfam family "Bacterial small subunit ribosomal RNA", at positions 338 to 795 of the family's 1533-position model. The record is from RNAcentral.